This 662-nucleotide ribosomal RNA is filed under the name uncultured bacterium. Its description in RNAcentral is "bacterial SSU rRNA". It matches the Rfam family "Bacterial small subunit ribosomal RNA", at positions 8 to 653 of the family's 1533-position model. The record is from RNAcentral.
AGGGUUUGAUCAUGGCUCAGGACGAACGCUGGCGGCGUGCUUAACACAUGCAAGUCAAGGAGAACGGAUCCUUCGGGAUACUAUUAAACUGGCGAACGGGUGAGUAACGCGUAGGCAACCUGCCUUGGAGAUUGGGAUAACCCCGGGAAACCGGAGCUAAUACCAAAUAAUGCAGCGGAUCCUUCGGGAUAUGUUGUUAAAGUGGGCUUCGGCUCACACUUCAAGAUGGGCCUGCGUCCGAUUAGCUUGUUGGUGAGGUAAUGGCUCACCAAGGCGAUGAUCGGUAGCUGGUCUGAGAGGAUGAUCAGCCACACUGGGAUUGAGAUACGGCCCAGACUCCUACGGGAGGCAGCAGUGGGGAAUUUUGCGCAAUGGACGAAAGUCUGACGCAGCAACGCCGCGUGAUCGAUGAAGCUUCUAGGAGUGUAAAGAUCUGUCGUGAGGGAAGAAAAAUCUGGAUGUAAAUAAUGUUCAGACUUGACGGUACCUCACAAGAAAGCACCGGCUAACUUCGUGCCAGCAGCCGCGGUAAUACGAGGGGUGCUAGCGUUGUCCGGAAUUACUGGGCGUAAAGGGUUCGUAGGCGUCUUGCCAAGUUGAUCGUUAAAGCCACCGGCUUAACCGGUGAUCUGCGAUCAAAACUGGCGAGAUAGAAUAUGUGA